GGACUCUUAUCUAGGAAUGCAAUGGCAGAACUGCUAUUCCUUACAUGCAUAAGCUAAACCAUAAAGGAGAUACAAUCAAUACAAAUAUGAAAGCAAGAUUUGUAUGAUCAAGUGGAAUUAAGAUGGCAGCUAAAGAUGGUAAAGUUAUGUUUCACAUAGCAUCUUCCUCCAAGAACUCAUAACUUGAACAACUAAUCUUUGAUGGAGAGUGAGAACCAAAAAAGCACACCAGAAGCAAUCAACAAAAAAGGCAAUCACCUGCAUAGGCAGAAAUAUCCAAGUGUUCCCAAGAUUUAGAUUUUGCAAACACAUGUGGCACUUAGCUAAACCCUGAAGAGGAGUGCUAAAAAGAGGCAAAGGGAGAAAAGAGUGAGUGAGGGCAAGUGGAAGUGAUGAAAGUGCUCACAAGUAAAAGACAAGCUCCAACUUAGAAAGAAAAUUAAGAGUGGAUACCAACGAGUAAUGAUAUCACACUCUGUGGUGUAGAGAAAAACUUUCCUUUCUAGUGAAAUUCCCCUCAAUAAAAAUC
Molecule: long non-coding RNA, 529 nt
Filed under: Homo sapiens (human)
Lineage: Eukaryota; Metazoa; Chordata; Mammalia; Primates; Hominidae
Description: HSALNT0300667
Source: RNAcentral